This 468-nucleotide ribosomal RNA is filed under the name uncultured bacterium. Its description in RNAcentral is "partial 16S ribosomal RNA". It matches the Rfam family "Bacterial small subunit ribosomal RNA", at positions 28 to 507 of the family's 1533-position model. The record is from RNAcentral.
GAUGAACGCUGGCGGCGUGCUUAACACAUGCAAGUCGAACGGAAAGGCCCUGCGUUUGUGGCUUGCUCGAGUGGCGAACGGGGGAGUAACACGUGAGUAACCUGCCCUUAUCUUUGGGAUAACUUCAGGGAACUGGGGCUAAUACCGGGUAUGAGCUCCUGCUGCAUGGGGGGGGUUGGAAAGUUUCGGCGUUUGGGGAUCGACUCGCGGCUUAUCAGCUAGUUGGUGUGGUAGUGGCUUACCAAGGCUUGGACGGGUAGCCGGCCUGGGAGGGUGACCGGGCACCAUGGGACUGAGAUACGCAGCAGAAUGCUACGGGCGGCAGAAGUGGGGAAUAUUGCACAAUGGGCGCAAGUGAGAUGCAGAGACGUCGGGUGCGGGAUGCCGGGUUUCGGGUUGUGAACAGCUUUCGCAUGUGACGAAGCGUGCGUGACGGUAAUGGGUAAAGAAGCCACGGCUAACUACGUG